GUGUCUGUGGUGUAGUGGUAGCACGCUGUGCACUGAUCCCAGUGGUCCCAGGUUCGAAUCCUGGCAGACACG
Branchiostoma belcheri (Belcher's lancelet) is the source of this 72-nucleotide non-coding RNA. NCBI's taxonomy places the organism in Eukaryota, Metazoa, Chordata, Leptocardii, Amphioxiformes, Branchiostomatidae. The record is from the annotation of a RefSeq genome assembly.